Molecule: long non-coding RNA, 418 nt
Organism: Passer domesticus (house sparrow)
Lineage: Eukaryota; Metazoa; Chordata; Aves; Passeriformes; Passeridae
Exons: 3
Source: RefSeq, a predicted model, not a curated record
GCUGCUUGCUCAGAGCAUUGUCAUCUAUGAGGUCAGACCAGGUUGCUCAGAGCUGUGUUCAGUCAGGAUUUAAAAACCACAAAGGACAGAGAACACAGACUCUCUGAGGAGGAAACAACUUUCUUACUGCAAUUUAAAUCUUUAGGGAAGCACUAUAACUGAAACACUACAACUGAUCUUCAAAAAACUUGCAGUCAGAUUUGAUUUUAUUAAAGUGAAGUGAAUUUCUCUCCAGAUGCCUGGAGAUCUAUUUAGCAUGCUUAAGAGAUGCUCUCUUAGGAUGCUGCUGCAUGAGAAGUGACAUGCUGAGGGACAUGAUUGUCUUGUUCACUGUUGCCAUAUGAAGCAAUGGAUUGGAAAAAUAUAAAGUACCCACUGAAAAAAAAUUAAUAAAUAAGCACUGGAAGAAAUUAAUAAA